UCAGGAUGAACGGCUGGCGGCGUGCCUAACACAUGCAAGUCGAACGGAGUACGAGAGCUUGCUUUGUAACUUAGUGGCGGACGGGUGAGUAAUGUAUGAGCAACCUGCCUUUCAGAGGGGGACAACAGUUGGAAACGACUGCUAAUACCGCAUAAUGUGCGGGGAGGGCAUCCUCCCUGUACCAAAGGAGCAAUCCGCUGAAAAGAUGGGCUCAUAUCUGAUUAGUUAGUUGGCAGGGUAACGGCCUACCAAGACUGCGAUCAGUAGCCGGACUGAGAGGUUGAACGGCCACAUUGGGACUGAGAUACGGCCCAGACUCCUACGGGAGGCAGCAGUGGGGAAUAUUGGGCAAUGGGCGAAAGCCUCGACCCAGCAACGCCGCGUGAAGGAAGAAGGUCUUCGGAUUGUAAACUUCUUUUAUGAGGGACGAAGGACGUGACGGUACCUCAUGAAUAAGCCACGGCUAACUACGUGCCAGCCGCCGC
RNAcentral lists this ribosomal RNA (485 nucleotides) under uncultured bacterium. RNAcentral's name for it is "bacterial SSU rRNA". It matches the Rfam family "Bacterial small subunit ribosomal RNA", at positions 24 to 518 of the family's 1533-position model. The record is from RNAcentral.